This 305-nucleotide ribosomal RNA is filed under the name uncultured bacterium. RNAcentral's name for it is "bacterial SSU rRNA". It matches the Rfam family "Bacterial small subunit ribosomal RNA", at positions 334 to 631 of the family's 1533-position model. The record is from RNAcentral.
UCUUCCUACGGGACGCAGCAGUAGGGAAUCUUCCACAAUGGGCGAAAGCCUGAUGGAGCAACGCCGCGUGGGUGAAGAAGGUCUCCGGAUCGUAAAACCCUGUUGUUAGAGAAGAAAGUGCGUGAGAGUAACUGUUCACAUUUCGACGGUAUCUAACCAGGAAGCCACGGCUAACUACGUGCCAGCAGCCGCGGUAAUACGUAGGUGGCAAGCGUUAUCCGGAUUUAUUGGGCGUAAAGGGAACGCAGGCGGUCUUUUAAGCCUGAUGUGAAAGCCUUCGGCUUAACCGGAGUAGUGCAUUGGAA